UACGAAGGGGGCAAGCGUUGUUCGGAUUCACUGGGCGUAAAGGGUGCGUAGGUGGUGAGGUAAGUCGGAUGUGAAAGCUCCGAGCUCAACUCGGAAAUGGCAUUGGAAACUACCUUGCUCGAGGGUUUGAGGGGGGACUGGAAUACUUGGUGUAGCAGUGAAAUGCGUAGAUAUCAAGUAGAACACCAGUGGCGAAGGCGAGUCCCUGGAAAACUCCUGACACUGAGGCACGAAAGCUAGGGGAGCAAACAGG
Molecule: ribosomal RNA, 253 nt
Filed under: uncultured bacterium
Lineage: Bacteria
Description: partial 16S ribosomal RNA
Rfam family: Bacterial small subunit ribosomal RNA
Source: RNAcentral